RNAcentral lists this ribosomal RNA (329 nucleotides) under uncultured eukaryote. RNAcentral's name for it is "partial 18S ribosomal RNA". It matches the Rfam family "Eukaryotic small subunit ribosomal RNA", at positions 1470 to 1796 of the family's 1831-position model. The record is from RNAcentral.
CCCUUAGAUGUUCUGGGCCGCACGCGCGCUACACUGAUGCAUUCAACGAGUCUAAAACCUGCUCUGAUAGGGGUGGGUAAUCUUUUGAAUGUGCAUCGUGAUUGGGAUAGAUGAUUGCAAUUUUUCAUCUUCAACGAGAAAUGCCUAGUAAACGCAAGUCAUCAGCUUGCAUUGAUUACGUCCCUGCCCUUUGUACACACCGCCCGUCGCUCCUACCGAUUGAAUGAUCCGAUGAAUAUCAUGGAUUGAGGAUGCAAGUAGGUUAGCCUAUCUUCAUCUUCGAGAAGUGAAGUAAAUCUUAUCAUUUAGAGGAAGGAGAAGUCGUAACA